UCGGAACCGAGACGAUGCGUGCGCUCCGCGACCGACCCGGGCUCCUCCUCUGCGUGCUGCUGCUGGCGGCGGCGCGAGGGCUCCCCGUGAAGAAGCCGCGGCUCCGCGGACCACGGCCUGGGAGCCUCACGAGGCUCGCAGAGGUCUCAGCCUCCCCAGAUCCUAGGCCUCUGAAGGAAGAGGAGGAGGCACCACUGCUCCCCAGAACCCACCUGCAGGCAGAGCCACACCAACAUGGACGCUGGACUGUCACUGAGCCAGCAGCCAUGACCCCAGGCAAUGCCACCCCUCCCAGGACCCCAGAGGUUACUCCGUUGCGGCUGGAGCUGCAGAAGCUGCCGGGAUUGGCCAACACAACCUUGAGUACCCCUAACCCUGAUACCCAGGCUUCAGCCUCCCCAGAUCCUAGGCCUCUGAGGGAAGAGGAGGAGGCACGACUGCUCCCCAGAACCCACCUGCAGGCAGAGCUACACCAACAUGGAUGUUGGACUGUCACUGAGCCAGCAGCCCUGACCCCAGGGAAUGCCACGCCUCCCAGGACCCAGGAGGUUACUCCCUUGCUGCUGGAGCUGCAGAAGCUGCCAGAAUUGGUCCACGCAACCUUGAGUACCCCUAACCCUGAUAACCAGGUGAGAGCUACAGAAGGGCCAGCAGCCCUGCAGACACCCGGAGAGGAGCGGGGCUGACAAGGUGGGCUCAGGAUACCCUACAUCCUGGAUUCCGUGGAGGGUGGGGCUGCUGUGUGGGGUCAGAGGGCAGGCUCCCCAUGCUCUCCCUGUGGUGUAGGGGGCAGAGGACCUGCCCCUCUACUUUCUAGCUGUGGGCCUUGGGCAAGUCUUUUGACUCUUUGAGCCUAUGUUCUCUAGACCAUGGCAAGAGACAAACAGCACCAACCCAGCAGGGCUAUGUGAGCACCAGUGAGUGGGAAAUGCUUUGUAGGCUACAAGGGAUUCCAGGAAUCUAAGGAGGCCUCCUGGAAAAGACCUGCAGGUCUGAUCCCCUAAAGAAGGGGUUCAGUAUGGAAUGGAGUAGGCUGGUGGCAUGGGGGACAGCCACCUGAAGGGCUUUAUAGGAGAGGAAAUUAGAGCAGCUGGCAGAAUUCUAGUUUCAGGCUCCACUGCCUGG
This 1125-nucleotide small RNA is filed under the name Pan troglodytes (chimpanzee). Its description in RNAcentral is "retained intron". The record is from RNAcentral. Lineage: Eukaryota; Metazoa; Chordata; Mammalia; Primates; Hominidae.